This 107-nucleotide small nuclear RNA is filed under the name Propithecus coquereli (Coquerel's sifaka). Lineage: Eukaryota; Metazoa; Chordata; Mammalia; Primates; Indriidae. The record is from RNAcentral.
GUACUCACUUCACUAGUACAUAUGCUAAAAUUGGAAUGAUAUGAAAGAAGAUGAGCAUGGUCUCUGCACAGGAUGACACACAAAUUUGUGAAGUGUUCCAUAGUUUU